RNAcentral lists this ribosomal RNA (260 nucleotides) under uncultured bacterium. Its description in RNAcentral is "partial 16S ribosomal RNA". It matches the Rfam family "Bacterial small subunit ribosomal RNA", at positions 793 to 1055 of the family's 1533-position model. The record is from RNAcentral.
GUCCUAGCCGUAAACGUUGGGUGCUAGGUGUGGGCGGUCAUCAACCCCGUCCGUGCCGAAGCUAACGCAUUAAGCACCCCGCCUGGGGAGUACGGCCGCAAGGCUAAAACUCAAAGGAAUUGACGGGGCCCCGCACAAGCGGCGGAGCAUGUUGCUUAAUUCGAUGCGACGCGAAGAACCUUACCUGGGCUUGACAUGCAGGGUGAAACCCGUGAAAGCGGCGCUCUUCGGAGCCUGCACAGGUGGUGCAUGGCUGUCGU